Molecule: long non-coding RNA, 492 nt
Filed under: Carica papaya (papaya)
Lineage: Eukaryota; Viridiplantae; Streptophyta; Magnoliopsida; Brassicales; Caricaceae
Description: long non-coding RNA (CPAP_LNC009393)
Source: RNAcentral
AGAAGUCGAAUUCCUUCUUUAAGUAAAAUUCCAAUGAGGACUUCGAAUAGGAGAAAAAAUCCUACUCCCUUGAUGUUUCUUUUUUCUCUUGUAAUUCUUGUACCAUAAAAUCCAAAGAAGAUUUAGUGUAAAACUCAAAUUCUUCUUCUCUUUCUCUUAGCUACACAUCCUUCUUGAAUCUUGAAUCUUGAAUCUUGGAUCUUGAAUCUUAAAUCUUGAUUUGGUGUUGAACCGGUGGAGGAAUGAGUCUUUGGCCAAAAUUCUAAUCUUUAUUGAAGUUGGACUUGCGAGCAUCCUUGCGGGAAAAGGAAUCCUUAUUCUUGUGGGAUUGAGACUGCUUGUGGGUGUGAGAAUACUCUUCCACAUUGUCUUUAUGUGUGCGCACUAGGCAGGUGCAAGCUAUCUCCGUGCAUGUGAACAUCUUCUUUUGGGAUUCCGUUUGGACUUCAAGACUACUUUUAGCCUAGCCGUGUUCACAUCGUGUAAUCUCAU